This 406-nucleotide ribosomal RNA is filed under the name uncultured bacterium. RNAcentral describes it as "partial 16S ribosomal RNA". It matches the Rfam family "Bacterial small subunit ribosomal RNA", at positions 30 to 526 of the family's 1533-position model. The record is from RNAcentral.
AUUGAACGCUGGCGGCAAGCCUAACACAUGCAAGUCGAACGAGUGGCGGACGGGUGAGUAAUGUCUGGGAAACUGCCCGGUGGCGGGGGAUAACUACUGGAAACGGUAGCUAAUACCGCAUACUAUCGGAUGUGCCCAGAUGGGAUUAGCUAGUAGGUGGGGUAAAGGCUCACCAAGGCGCCGAUCCCUAGCUGGUUUGAGAGGACGACCAGCCACACUGGAACUGAGACACGGUCCAGACUCCUACGGGAGGCAGCAGUGGGGAAUAUUGCACAAUGGGGGCAAGCCUGAUGCAGCCAUGCCGCGUGUAUGAAGAAGACCUUCGGGUUGUAAAGUACUUUCGGCGGGGAGGCGUUACCCGCAGAAGAAGCACCGGCUAACUACGUGCCAGCAGCCGCGGUAAUAC